This 1719-nucleotide ribosomal RNA is filed under the name Escherichia coli. RNAcentral describes it as "partial 23S ribosomal RNA". It matches the Rfam family "Bacterial large subunit ribosomal RNA", at positions 1033 to 2736 of the family's 2925-position model. Lineage: Bacteria; Pseudomonadati; Pseudomonadota; Gammaproteobacteria; Enterobacterales; Enterobacteriaceae. The record is from RNAcentral.
CGCCAGCUAAGGUCCCAAAGUCAUGGUUAAGUGGGAAACGAUGUGGGAAGGCCCAGACAGCCAGGAUGUUGGCUUAGAAGCAGCCAUCAUUUAAAGAAAGCGUAAUAGCUCACUGGUCGAGUCGGCCUGCGCGGAAGAUGUAACGGGGCUAAACCAUGCACCGAAGCUGCGGCAGCGACGCUGAUGCGUUGUUGGGUAGGGGAGCGUUCUGUAAGCCUGCGAAGGUGUGCUGUGAGGCAUGCUGGAGGUAUCAGAAGUGCGAAUGCUGACAUAAGUAACGAUAAAGCGGGUGAAAAGCCCGCUCGCCGGAAGACCAAGGGUUCCUGUCCAACGUUAAUCGGGGCAGGGUGAGUCGACCCCUAAGGCGAGGCCGAAAGGCGUAGUCGAUGGGAAACAGGUUAAUAUUCCUGUACUUGGUGUUACUGCGAAGGGGGGACGGAGAAGGCUAUGUUGGCCGGGCGACGGUUGUCCCGGUUUAAGCGUGUAGGCUGGUUUUCCAGGCAAAUCCGGAAAAUCAAGGCUGAGGCGUGAUGACGAGGCACUGCGGUGCUGAAGCAACAAAUGCCCUGCUUCCAGGAAAAGCCUCUAAGCAUCAGGUAACAUCAAAUCGUACCCCAAACCGACACAGGUGGUCAGGUAGAGAAUACCAAGGCGCUUGAGAGAACUCGGGUGAAGGAACUAGGCAAAAUGGUGCCGUAACUUCGGGAGAAGGCACGCUGAUAUGUAGGUGAAGUCCCUCGCGGAUGGAGCUGAAAUCAGUCGAAGAUACCAGCUGGCUGCAACUGUUUAUUAAAAACACAGCACUGUGCAAACACGAAAGUGGACGUAUACGGUGUGACGCCUGCCCGGUGCCGGAAGGUUAAUUGAUGGGGUUAGCGCAAGCGAAGCUCUUGAUCGAAGCCCCGGUAAACGGCGGCCGUAACUAUAACGGUCCUAAGGUAGCGAAAUUCCUUGUCGGGUAAGUUCCGACCUGCACGAAUGGCGUAAUGAUGGCCAGGCUGUCUCCACCCGAGACUCAGUGAAAUUGAACUCGCUGUGAAGAUGCAGUGUACCCGCGGCAAGACGGAAAGACCCCGUGAACCUUUACUAUAGCUUGACACUGAACAUUGAGCCUUGAUGUGUAGGAUAGGUGGGAGGCUUUGAAGUGUGGACGCCAGUCUGCAUGGAGCCGACCUUGAAAUACCACCCUUUAAUGUUUGAUGUUCUAACGUUGACCCGUAAUCCGGGUUGCGGACAGUGUCUGGUGGGUAGUUUGACUGGGGCGGUCUCCUCCUAAAGAGUAACGGAGGAGCACGAAGGUUGGCUAAUCCUGGUCGGACAUCAGGAGGUUAGUGCAAUGGCAUAAGCCAGCUUGACUGCGAGCGUGACGGCGCGAGCAGGUGCGAAAGCAGGUCAUAGUGAUCCGGUGGUUCUGAAUGGAAGGGCCAUCGCUCAACGGAUAAAAGGUACUCCGGGGAUAACAGGCUGAUACCGCCCAAGAGUUCAUAUCGACGGCGGUGUUUGGCACCUCGAUGUCGGCUCAUCACAUCCUGGGGCUGAAGUAGGUCCCAAGGGUAUGGCUGUUCGCCAUUUAAAGUGGUACGCGAGCUGGGUUUAGAACGUCGUGAGACAGUUCGGUCCCUAUCUGCCGUGGGCGCUGGAGAACUGAGGGGGGCUGCUCCUAGUACGAGAGGACCGGAGUGGACGCAUCACUGGUGUUCGGGUUGUCAUGCCAAUGGC